RNAcentral lists this ribosomal RNA (348 nucleotides) under uncultured bacterium. Its description in RNAcentral is "partial 16S ribosomal RNA". It matches the Rfam family "Bacterial small subunit ribosomal RNA", at positions 338 to 697 of the family's 1533-position model. The record is from RNAcentral.
CCUACGGGAGGCAGCAGUAGGGAAUUUUCGGCAAUGGGGGGAACCCUGACCGAGCAACGUCGCGUGAACGAAGAAGUCACUCCUAAUGUUAAGCUUCUUUAACCGGGGAGCAAGAGAAAUCUGACGGUACCUGAAGAAUAAUCCCCGGCUAACUACGUGCCAGUAGCUGCGGUACUACGUAGGGAGCGAGCGUUAUCCGGAUUUAGUGGGCGUAAAGGGUGCGUAGUUGGCAUAGUAAGUCUGUGGUAAAAAUGCUGGGCUCAACCCAGUAGGGCAAAAGAUACUGCAGAGCUUGAGUGUGACAGAGGCAAGUGGAACGAGAGGUGUAGCGGUGAAAUGCGUAAAUAU